CGUGUCGUGAGAUGUUCGGUUAAGUCCCGUAACGAGCGCAACCCUUGUCCUUAGUUACCAGCACGUAAUGGUGGGCACUCUAAGGAGACUGCCGGUGACAAACCGGAGGAAGGUGGGGAUGACGUCAAGUCAUCAUGGCCCUUACGGCCUGGGCUACACACGUGCUACAAUGGUCGGUACAAAGGGUUGCCAAGCCGCGAGGUGGAGCUAAUCCCAUAAAACCGAUCGUAGUCCGGAUCGCAGUCUGCAACUCGACUGCGUGAAGUCGGAAUCGCUAGUAAUCGUGAAUCAGAAUGUCACGGUGAAUACGUUCCCGGGCCUU
RNAcentral lists this ribosomal RNA (322 nucleotides) under uncultured Pseudomonas sp. Its description in RNAcentral is "bacterial SSU rRNA". It matches the Rfam family "Bacterial small subunit ribosomal RNA", at positions 1061 to 1382 of the family's 1533-position model. The record is from RNAcentral. Lineage: Bacteria; Pseudomonadati; Pseudomonadota; Gammaproteobacteria; Pseudomonadales; Pseudomonadaceae.